GUCCACGCCGUAAACGAUGUCUACUAGCCGUUGGAGUCCUUGAGGCUUUAGUGGCGCAGCUAACGCACUAAGUAGACCGCCUGGGGAGUACGGUCGCAAGAUUAAAACUCAAAUGAAUUGACGGGGGCCCGCACAAGCGGUGGAGCAUGUGGUUUAAUUCGACGCAACGCGAAGAACCUUACCAGGUCUUGACAUCUAGAGAAUUCGCCAGAGAUGGCUUAGUGCCUUCGGGAACUCUAAGACAGGUGCUGCAUGGCUGUCGU
RNAcentral lists this ribosomal RNA (263 nucleotides) under uncultured bacterium. RNAcentral describes it as "partial 16S ribosomal RNA". It matches the Rfam family "Bacterial small subunit ribosomal RNA", at positions 793 to 1055 of the family's 1533-position model. The record is from RNAcentral.